This 511-nucleotide ribosomal RNA is filed under the name uncultured bacterium. Its description in RNAcentral is "bacterial SSU rRNA". It matches the Rfam family "Bacterial small subunit ribosomal RNA", at positions 28 to 521 of the family's 1533-position model. The record is from RNAcentral.
GACGAACGCUGGCGGCGUGCCUAAUACAUGCAAGUCGAGCGGACAGAUGGGAGCUUGCUCCCUGAUGUUAGCGGCGGACGGGUGAGUAACACGUGGGUAACCUGCCUGUAAGACUGGGAUAACUCCGGGAAACCGGGGCUAAUACCGGAUGCUUGUUUGAACCGCAUGGUUCAAACAUAAAAGGUGGCUUCGGCUACCACUUACAGAUGGACCCGCGGCGCAUUAGCUAGUUGGUGAGGUAACGGCUCACCAAGGCAACGAUGCGUAGCCGACCUGAGAGGGUGAUCGGCCACACUGGGACUGAGACACGGCCCAGACUCCUACGGGAGGCAGCAGUAGGGAAUCUUCCGCAAUGGACGAAAGUCUGACGGAGCAACGCCGCGUGAGUGAUGAAGGUUUUCGGAUCGUAAAGCUCUGUUGUUAGGGAAGAACAAGUACCGUUCGAAUAGGGCGGUACCUUGACGGUACCUAACCAGAAAGCCACGGCUAACUACGUGCCAGCAGCCGCGGU